RNAcentral lists this transfer RNA (85 nucleotides) under Photobacterium sp. RNAcentral's name for it is "tRNA-Leu". It matches the Rfam family "tRNA". From Rfam's summary of the family: Transfer RNA (tRNA) molecules are approximately 80 nucleotides in length. Their secondary structure includes four short double-helical elements and three loops (D, anti-codon, and T loops). The record is from RNAcentral. RNAcentral also lists the same sequence under 192 other names. Lineage: Bacteria; Pseudomonadati; Pseudomonadota; Gammaproteobacteria; Vibrionales; Vibrionaceae.
GCGGAAGUGGCGAAAUUGGUAGACGCACCAGAUUUAGGUUCUGGCGCCGCAAGGUGUGAGAGUUCAAGUCUCUCCUUCCGCACCA